UACGUAGGGGGCAAGCGUUGUCCGGAAUCAUUGGGCGUAAAGCGCGUGUAGGCGGCCCGGUAAGUCCGCUGUGAAAGUCGGGGGCUUAACCCUCGGAUGCCGGUGGAUACUGUCGGGCUAGAGUGCGGGAGAGGCGAGUGGAAUUCCUGGUGUAGCGGUGAAAUGCGCAGAUAUCAGGAGGAACACCAAUUGCGAAGGCAGCUCGCUGGACCGUUACUGACGCUGAGACGCGAAAGCGUGGGGAGCAAACAGG
RNAcentral lists this ribosomal RNA (253 nucleotides) under uncultured bacterium. RNAcentral describes it as "partial 16S ribosomal RNA". It matches the Rfam family "Bacterial small subunit ribosomal RNA", at positions 524 to 776 of the family's 1533-position model. The record is from RNAcentral.